UAGUACCGAAGUUCCUGAUGUCACACUGCCGAGAAAAGCUUCUAGUGAGAAAACAGCGGCCCGUACCGCAAACCGACACAGGUAGUCGAGGAGAGAAUCCUAAGGUGAGCGAGAGAACUCUCGUUAAGGAACUCGGCAAAAUGACCCCGUAACUUCGGGAGAAGGGGUGCUGAUCAUACGAUCAGCCGCAGUGAAUAGGCCCAAGCGACUGUUUAUCAAAAACACAGGUCUCUGCAAAAUCGUAAGAUGAAGUAUAGGGGCUGACGCCUGCCCGGUGCUGGAAGGUUAAGAGGAGUGCUUAGCGCAAGCGAAGGUACGAAUUGAAGCCCCAGUAAACGGCGGCCGUAACUAUAACGGUCCUAAGGUAGCGAAAUUCCUUGUCGGGUAAGUUCCGACCCGCACGAAAGGCGUAACGAUUUGGGCACUGUCUCAACGAGAGACUCGGUGAAAUUUUAGUACCUGUGAAGAUGCAGGUUACCCGCGACAGGACGGAAAGACCCCAUGGAGCUUUACUGUAGUUUGAUAUUGAGUGUCUGUACCGCAUGUACAGGAUAGGUAGGAGCCGUAGAAAUUGGAACGCUAGUUUCGAUGGAGGCGCUGGUGGGAUACUACCCCUGCGUUAUGGCCACUCUAACCCGCACCACUAAUCGUGGUGGGAGACAGUGUCAGAUGGGCAGUUUGACUGGGGCGGUCGCCUC
RNAcentral lists this ribosomal RNA (698 nucleotides) under Enterococcus faecium. RNAcentral describes it as "partial 23S ribosomal RNA". It matches the Rfam family "Bacterial large subunit ribosomal RNA", at positions 1580 to 2289 of the family's 2925-position model. Lineage: Bacteria; Bacillati; Bacillota; Bacilli; Lactobacillales; Enterococcaceae. The record is from RNAcentral.